CCCGGCUAACUCCGUGCCAGCAGCCGCGGUAAUACGGAGGGGGUUAGCGUUGUUCGGAAUUACUGGGCGUAAAGCGUACGUAGGCGGAUUAGUCAGUCAGAGGUGAAAUCCCAGGGCUCAACCCUGGAACUGCCUUUGAUACUGCUAGUCUUGAGUUCGAGAGAGGUGAGUGGAAUUCCAAGUGUAGAGGUGAAAUUCGUAGAUAUUUGGAGGAACACCAGUGGCGAAGGCGGCUCACUGGCUCGAUACUGACGCUGAGGUACGAAAGUGUGGGGAGCAAACAGGAUUAGAUACCCUGGUAGUCCACACCGUAAACGAUGAAUGCCAGUCGUCGGGCAGUAUACUGUUCGGUGACACACCUAACGGAUUAAGCAUUCCGCCUGGGGAGUACGGUCGCAAGAUUAAAACUCAAAUGAAUUGACG
This 423-nucleotide ribosomal RNA is filed under the name uncultured Alphaproteobacteria bacterium. RNAcentral describes it as "bacterial SSU rRNA". It matches the Rfam family "Bacterial small subunit ribosomal RNA", at positions 492 to 915 of the family's 1533-position model. The record is from RNAcentral. Lineage: Bacteria; Pseudomonadati; Pseudomonadota; Alphaproteobacteria.